GACGAACGCUGGCGGCGUGCUUAACACAUGCAAGUCGAACGGAAAGGCCCUGCUUUUGUGGGGUGCUCGAGUGGCGAACGGGUGAGUAACACGUGAGUAACCUGCCCUUGACUUUGGGAUAACUUCAGGAAACUGGGUCUAAUACCGGAUAGGAGCUCCUGCUGCAUGGUGGGGGUUGGAAAGUUUCGGCGGUUGGGGAUGGACUCGCGGCUUAUCAGCUUGUUGGUGGGGUAGUGGCUUACCAAGGCUUUGACGGGUAGCCGGCCUGAGAGGGUGACCGGCCACACUGGGACUGAGAUACGGCCCAGACUCCUACGGGAGGCAGCAGUGGGGAAUAUUGCACAAUGGGCGGAAGCCUGAUGCAGCAACGCCGCGUGCGGGAUGACGGCCUUCGGGUUGUAAACCGCUUUCGCCUGUGACGAAGCGUGAGUGACGGUAAUGGGUAAAGAAGCACCGGCUAACUACGUG
RNAcentral lists this ribosomal RNA (468 nucleotides) under uncultured bacterium. RNAcentral describes it as "partial 16S ribosomal RNA". It matches the Rfam family "Bacterial small subunit ribosomal RNA", at positions 28 to 507 of the family's 1533-position model. The record is from RNAcentral.